CGUAAUGAUGGCCAGGCUGUCUCCACCCGAGACUCAGUGAAAUUGAACUCGCUGUGAAGAUGCAGUGUACCCGCGGCAAGACGGAAAGACCCCGUGAACCUUUACUAUAGCUUGACACUGAACAUUGAGCCUUGAUGUGUAGGAUAGGUGGGAGGCUUUGAAGUGUGGACGCCAGUCUGCAUGGAGCCGACCUUGAAAUACCACCCUUUAAUGUUUGAUGUUCUAACGUUGACCCGUAAUCCGGGUUGCGGACAGUGUCUGGUGGGUAGUUUGACUGGGGCGGUCUCCUCCUAAAGAGUAACGGAGGAGCACGAAGGUUGGCUAAUCCUGGUCGGACAUCAGGAGGUUAGUGCAAUGGCAUAAGCCAGCUUGACUGCGAGCGUGACGGCGCGAGCAGGUGCGAAAGC
RNAcentral lists this ribosomal RNA (407 nucleotides) under Escherichia coli. Its description in RNAcentral is "partial 23S ribosomal RNA". It matches the Rfam family "Bacterial large subunit ribosomal RNA", at positions 2000 to 2406 of the family's 2925-position model. The record is from RNAcentral. Lineage: Bacteria; Pseudomonadati; Pseudomonadota; Gammaproteobacteria; Enterobacterales; Enterobacteriaceae.